UUGUGUUAUUCGUGAUGACUGGGCGUAGGGUACGUAGGCGGAUAGUCAAAAUUAUAGUUAAAGACUGAGGUUGACCCUCUUUGUGCUAUAUUCACUAGCUAUCUUGAGUUUUAAAGGCGAUAGUGAAUCCUUUAAGUAAGGGUUAAAUUGUUGAUAUUAGGAGACAUUCGAAGGCGAAAGCAAUGAUCGAUUUAAAUCUGACGCUAGGUACUAAAGCAUGGGUAUGAAAAGGAUUAGAGACCUUGUAGUCCAUGCCGUAAACUAUGAGUGUUCAACGUCCUUUUGUGACUUGUCUACGGAACAAUGUAGCAUAUGCAUAAAAGGGGGUUUGAAGCUAACGCGUAAAACACCGCCUGGGGAAUGUGGCCGCAAGGUUAAACUCAAAGGAAUUGACGGAGACUUAUACAAGGGGUGGAGAUGUGGUUUAAUUCGAG
Molecule: ribosomal RNA, 434 nt
Filed under: Didymium squamulosum
Lineage: Eukaryota; Evosea; Eumycetozoa; Physariida; Didymiaceae
Description: SSU rRNA
Rfam family: Bacterial small subunit ribosomal RNA
Source: RNAcentral